This 88-nucleotide transfer RNA is filed under the name Bacteroides sp. RNAcentral describes it as "tRNA-Ser". It matches the Rfam family "tRNA". From Rfam's summary of the family: Transfer RNA (tRNA) molecules are approximately 80 nucleotides in length. Their secondary structure includes four short double-helical elements and three loops (D, anti-codon, and T loops). RNAcentral also lists the same sequence under 6 other names. The record is from RNAcentral. Lineage: Bacteria; Pseudomonadati; Bacteroidota; Bacteroidia; Bacteroidales; Bacteroidaceae.
GGAGUGGUGCUCGAGUGGUUGAAGAGGCACGCCUGGAAAGCGUGUAUACGCCAAAAGCGUAUCGGGGGUUCGAAUCCCCCUCACUCCG